CGAAGCCGUUUGCACUUGCUUCCUUGUCUGUCCUGCUCACGCUAAGAGGAAGUGCCAUUUUCGGGAGAUCCGUGUCUGACUAUGCUGCCAGGUCCCAUCCACUGAUUCUAUAUUCAGUGCUAAAGAGCAGAUGGAUUACAGAUGUCUAGCAGCACCAGAGAGCAGACCUCCCGUUCGCUCCUGACAGAUUGAGGGCGUGUGGACAGCUUUGUUAUUAUGAUGCAGAAAACGCAUGUGACCUGAAUCAUGCGUGUGGGCAGAAGUUGGCACGUACCUUUCAACAACCUGGCAUUUUGACCCCUGACAAACCUGACAUUUGAAGGGAGAAAAAGAAAGAAUCAAUCAGCUCAUAUAUCACAAGCGUUUAGGAAACAAAGCCUGUACAAACAACAACAGGCAGAUUGCGGAUUAAUUCAGCGUGGCAAAACUGAUUGGAGAGCGGAAAACAGAGAGGGAGACGGACAUGAAGACAGAGAGAGGGAGACAAACCACAUUUCACAAUCAGUAUUGUCAUUCUUAAUGAGGUCGAUCUAUUAGCCAUUCAUCAAAAGCAUGUCCUUUCACAAGCCUUCUGCUCAAUCACAAAGAACAUAUUGAA
Long non-coding RNA from Ctenopharyngodon idella (grass carp), 598 nucleotides. RefSeq lists it as uncharacterized. The record is from RefSeq and is a predicted model, not a curated record. The transcript has 3 exons. Lineage: Eukaryota; Metazoa; Chordata; Actinopteri; Cypriniformes; Xenocyprididae.